GUAAUGGUUUCGGCCUGUGCUGGACACUUGCUAUGGAUCGUUAUCUCAUUGAUUUGCUGCAAGACCAGGCACUUAGAGGGAAUAAAAUUGGUCAUGAAUUGACAACUGAGGCUUGGAUUGAAAUGAUCAAGUUGUUCAAUGAGAGAUUUGGGACACAUCAUGAGAAAGAAAUUCUGAAGAAUCGGUACAUACAUUUGAGGAGGCG
RNAcentral lists this unclassified non-coding RNA (205 nucleotides) under Hevea brasiliensis (rubber tree). The record is from RNAcentral. Lineage: Eukaryota; Viridiplantae; Streptophyta; Magnoliopsida; Malpighiales; Euphorbiaceae.